AGAAUUUGCGAUCAAAGUGGUGGGAGCGGCAGACGGGUGAGUAAUACGUUGGAACCUGCCCCANAGUCAGGGAUAACCCAGUAGAAAUAUUGGCUAAUACCGGAUAGUCACGAAAGUGUAAAGCUUUUGCGCUUUGGGAGGGGCCUGCGGUCUAUCAGCUUGUUGGUAAGGUAAUGGCUUACCAAGGCUAUGACGGAUAGCUGGUUUGAGAGAAUGAUCAGCCACAAUGGAACUGAGACACGGUCCCAUACUCCUACGGGAGGCAGCAGUGAGGAAUCUUCCGCAAUGGGCGAAAGCCUGACGGAGCAACACCGCGUGAAGGAUGAAGGUCGUAAGAUUGUAAACUUCUUUUCUGAGGGAAGAAUUCUUGACGGUACCUCAGGAAUAAGCAUCCGGCUAACUUACGUGCCAGCAGCCGCGGUAAGACGUAGGAUGCAAGCGUUAUCCGGAAUUAUUGGGCAUAAAGAGUUCGUAGGCGGUUUGUUAAGUUGGAUGUUAAAUUUUUGAGCUCAACUUAAAAAAAAGUAUCCAAAAACUGGCAAACUGGAGACUGGUAGAGGUAAGUGGAAUUCUGCAUGUAGGGGUAAUAUCCGUAGAUAUGCAGAGGAACACCAAAAGCGAAGGCAGCUUACUGGACCAGUUCUGACGCUCAAGAACGAAAGCGUGGGUAGCGAACGGGAUUAGAUACCCCGGUAGUCCACGCCCUAAACGAUGAACACUAGGUAUUGGAGGUCUCGACCCCUUCAGUGCCGACGCAAAUGCAAUAAGUGUUCCGCCUGGGUAGUACGAGCGCAAGCUUAAAACUCAAAGGAAUAGACGGGGACCCACACAAGCGGUGGAGCAUCUGGUUUAAUUCGACAAUAAGCGAGGAACCUUACCAAGGCUUGACAUCCCGAGAAGAUCGCCGAAAGGUGAUUGUGCCGUUAGGAACUCGGUGACAGGUGCUGCAUGGUUGUCGUCAGCUCGUGCCUUGAGGUGUUCGGUUAAGUCCGUGAACGAGCGCAACCCUUGUCUCAAGUUGCAUAUUUCUUGAGAGACUGCCGGUUUCAAAUCGGAGGAAGGUAAGGAUGACGUCAAAUCAGCAUGGCCCUUAUGUCUUGGGCGACACAGGUGCUACAAUGGCCGGUACAAUGGGCAGCGAAGGAGCAAUCUGGAGCAAAUCCUCAAAACCGGUCCAAGUUCGAAUUG
RNAcentral lists this ribosomal RNA (1188 nucleotides) under uncultured organism. Its description in RNAcentral is "bacterial SSU rRNA". It matches the Rfam family "Bacterial small subunit ribosomal RNA", at positions 71 to 1300 of the family's 1533-position model. The record is from RNAcentral.